This 494-nucleotide ribosomal RNA is filed under the name uncultured bacterium. RNAcentral describes it as "partial 16S ribosomal RNA". It matches the Rfam family "Bacterial small subunit ribosomal RNA", at positions 28 to 507 of the family's 1533-position model. The record is from RNAcentral.
GACGAACGCUGGCGGCGUGCUUAACACAUGCAAGUCGAACGGUGAAGCGCCUUCCUCUUUGGUGGGUGUGGAUGAGUGGCGAACGGGUGAGUAACACGUGAGUAACCUGCCCCCUUCUUCUGGAUAACCGCAUGAAAGUGUGGCUAAUACGGGAUAUUCUGGUUUUGUUGCUUGAUGGGUCUGGGAAAGAUCUUGUUUCGGUGGGGGAUGGGCUCGCGGCCUACCAGCUUGUUGGUGGGGUGAUGGCCUACCAAGGCGGUGACGGGUAGCCGGCCUGAGAGGGUGGACGGUCACACUGGGACGGAGACACGGCCCAGACUCCUGCGGGAGGCAGCAGUGGGGAAUAUGGCACAAUGGGCGCAAGCCUGAUGCAGCGACGCCGCGUGAGGGAUGGAGGCCUUCGGGUUGUGAACCUCUUUCGCCAGUGAAGCAGGCCUGCCUCGUUUGUGGGUGGGUUGACGGUAGCUGGAUAAGAAGCGCCGGCUAACUACGUG